RNAcentral lists this ribosomal RNA (159 nucleotides) under uncultured Thelephoraceae. RNAcentral describes it as "partial 28S ribosomal RNA". It matches the Rfam family "Eukaryotic large subunit ribosomal RNA", at positions 1 to 158 of the family's 3401-position model. Lineage: Eukaryota; Fungi; Basidiomycota; Agaricomycetes; Thelephorales; Thelephoraceae. The record is from RNAcentral.
AUCUCAAAUCAGGUAGGACUACCCGCUGAACUUAAGCAUAUCAAUAAGCGGAGGAAAAGAAACUAACAAGGAUUCCCCUAGUAACUGCGAGUGAAGCGGGAAGAGCUCAAAUUUAAAAUCUGGCAUGCCUCCGGCUGUCCGAGUUGUAGUCUGGAGAAG